This 399-nucleotide ribosomal RNA is filed under the name uncultured bacterium. RNAcentral's name for it is "bacterial SSU rRNA". It matches the Rfam family "Bacterial small subunit ribosomal RNA", at positions 29 to 414 of the family's 1533-position model. The record is from RNAcentral.
AAUCAACGCUGGCGGCGUGCCUAACACAUGCAAGUCGAACGCGAAAGCCCCGCAAGGGGCAAGUAGAGUGGCAAACGGGUGAGUAACACGUGGGUGACCUGCCUCAGAGUUGGGGAUAACGACCCGAAAGGGUCGCUAAUACCGCAUAACAUCCUGCGUUUGGAUACGCGGUGAUCAAAGCCGGGGAUUCGCAAGAACCUGGCGCUUGGAGAGGGGCCCGCGGCCGAUUAGCUAGNGGUGAGGUAACGGCUCGCCAAGGCUACGAUCGGUAUCCGGCCUGAGAGGGCGGACGGACACACUGGGACUGAGACACGGCCAGACUCCUACGGGAGGCAGCAGUGGGGAAUUGUUCGCAAUGGGCGCAAGCCUGACGACGCAACGCCGCGUGGAGGACGAAGA